Non-coding RNA from Mycena epipterygia, 102 nucleotides. Lineage: Eukaryota; Fungi; Basidiomycota; Agaricomycetes; Agaricales; Mycenaceae. The record is from the annotation of a GenBank genome assembly.
CCGACUUUAGCUCAGUUGGAAGAGCAUCAGACUGUAACUGGUUAACUUGCGUAAUUUGCUUACGUAAUCUGGGUGUCGCCUGUUCGAACCAGGCAAGUCGGA